RNAcentral lists this ribosomal RNA (437 nucleotides) under Bacillus safensis. Its description in RNAcentral is "bacterial SSU rRNA". It matches the Rfam family "Bacterial small subunit ribosomal RNA", at positions 91 to 514 of the family's 1533-position model. The record is from RNAcentral. Lineage: Bacteria; Bacillati; Bacillota; Bacilli; Caryophanales; Bacillaceae.
GUUAGCGGCGGACGGGUGAGUAACACGUGGGUAACCUGCCUGUAAGACUGGGAUAACUCCGGGAAACCGGAGCUAAUACCGGAUAGUUCCUUGAACCGCAUGGUUCAAGGAUGAAAGACGGUUUCGGCUGUCACUUACAGAUGGACCCGCGGCGCAUUAGCUAGUUGGUGGGGUAAUGGCUCACCAAGGCGACGAUGCGUAGCCGACCUGAGAGGGUGAUCGGCCACACUGGGACUGAGACACGGCCCAGACUCCUACGGGAGGCAGCAGUAGGGAAUCUUCCGCAAUGGACGAAAGUCUGACGGAGCAACGCCGCGUGAGUGAUGAAGGUUUUCGGAUCGUAAAGCUCUGUUGUUAGGGAAGAACAAGUGCGAGAGUAACUGCUCGCACCUUGACGGUACCUAACCAGAAAGCCACGGCUAACUACGUGCCAGCAG